This 226-nucleotide long non-coding RNA is filed under the name Elaeis guineensis (African oil palm). RNAcentral's name for it is "long non-coding RNA (EGUI_LNC070305)". Lineage: Eukaryota; Viridiplantae; Streptophyta; Magnoliopsida; Arecales; Arecaceae. The record is from RNAcentral.
GUGCAUGGAUCGCAUUCUUUUUUUAUAAAUGGAUCUUGAGUUUACAGUGUGGAGACACUGGAACGAGAGUGCAGAUGGUUGUUAGAAAACAACGGUACUGAGCGUGAUAAAAAAAAAAAGAAGUCACAUGGAUGCCUACUCACCCAUCAGUGACUUCUCGAUGCUGUAGUUAUGUAAGUGUUUUUUUGACCUAUGGUGCAUCGGUCAUUCAUCUUGAGGGUGCUAU